RNAcentral lists this ribosomal RNA (466 nucleotides) under uncultured bacterium. Its description in RNAcentral is "partial 16S ribosomal RNA". It matches the Rfam family "Bacterial small subunit ribosomal RNA", at positions 28 to 507 of the family's 1533-position model. The record is from RNAcentral.
GAUGAACGCUGGCGGCGUGCUUAACACAUGCAAGUCGAACGAUGAAGCCCAGCUUGCUGGGUGGAUUAGUGGCGAACGGGUGAGUAACACGUGAGUAACCUGCCCUUAACUCUGGGAUAAGCCUGGGAAACUGGGUCUAAUACCGGAUAGGAGCGUCCACCGCAUGGUGGGUGUUGGAAAGAUUUAUCGGUUUUGGAUGGACUCGCGGCCUAUCAGCUUGUUGGUGGGGUAAUGGCUCACCAAGGCGACGACGGGUAGCCGGCCUGAGAGGGUGACCGGCCACACUGGGACUGAGACACGGCCCAGACUCCUACGGGAGGCAGCAGUGGGGAAUAUUGCACAAUGGGCGCGAGCCUGAUGCAGCGGCGCCGCGUGAGGGAUGACGGCCUUCGGGUUGUAAACCUCUUUCAGUAGGGAAGAAGCGAAAGUGACGGUACCUGCAGAAGAAGCACCGGCUAACUACGUG